Molecule: ribosomal RNA, 253 nt
Filed under: uncultured bacterium
Lineage: Bacteria
Description: partial 16S ribosomal RNA
Rfam family: Bacterial small subunit ribosomal RNA
Source: RNAcentral
UACGGAGGGUGCAAGCGUUAUCCGGAUUCACUGGGUUUAAAGGGUGCGUAGGCGGGCAGUUAAGUCAGUGGUGAAAUCCUUGAGCUCAACUCGAGAACUGCCAUUGAUACUAUCUGUCUUGAAUAUUGUGGAGGUAAGCGGAAUAUGUCAUGUAGCGGUGAAAUGCUUAGAUAUGACAUAGAACACCUAUUGCGAAGGCAGCUUACUACGCAUAUAUUGACUCUGAGGCACGAAAGCGUGGGGAUCAAACAGG